GCAAAACCUAAUAAUGCUUCAGAUAAUCUUAGUUUAUCACUUGAUUAUUGAUGCACCAAUUAUUUUUCUUUGUCCAAAUCAAUGCCACGAGACGUUUAUUGCCCAACUGUCCCUAAAGCUCAGGAAACCAACUUCAAACCGCAAAUAACAGCAAGCCCUGUGACUCUGUUAAUUGUCAUGGAUUCUCUACAGGCUGGUCGUAAAAUGGAUUCUCAUGGGCCGUUUUUCAUGGGCUCAAAUAGGCCCAGUUGUUAAGCUAUUAGGCCUUCUCUACUUACGUCAGAAUUCCGUUGAUAAGAAAACACUGCAUCUCCAAGAACCUGUCACAGAUAAGAUUCAUAAGAAUGGCACUGACAGCUUCAUUAUCGACGGUUUCGUGUACACCGCCACGAUGGGUGUCGACUCGAAGCGUGCCAACUGCUCGUGGUCCAUCAACUUCUCUGUCUCUCUUUACUGGUUCAAAACCAAGAAGCAAUUUCUCAAUAAAUGUGUUCAGCAACUCUGCAUCUCGCUCAGGACUUCUUCACUGCUCCUUUCUCUCUUCUUCUCUCGCAUUCCCUUCUUCCUUUUCAGGUAGCUAAACCCAAACCCAUAUCGAAUUAUACUUUGAUUUUUGUUAUUUUUGUGAUGCCUAUUUCAAUUGAGUGGUUAUUCUAUGGUUUUACGGUGGAAGAUUUGAGGGGUAUCUCCUUCUUGUUACAUUCUCGCUUUCAGAAAAUAGACUCUGGAUUUUUCUAUUCCGAACUUAAAUUGUUGAUUGGAAAUGUUAGUUGAGCAUUGCUUCUGGAAUUGUUUUCUUUACGAGAAGGGGUAAUUAUUAUUUUAUGGGAAAAUGAUUGAAGUAAAUUUUGGUUCUUUUGAAUAUUAAAUUAAUUUUAAAUUUCUAAACAAGCAAUUUAGGAUAGGUAGAUGUUGGAAGAUUGAUUUAGAACAACUGUUACUAUAGUGCUUGCAGGCUUGCUGCACGUUAAUACAUUAUUAGAUAAUAAUCUCAUUAAUUUUGUUCAGUAUUAAUGUUUGUGAUUCGUUUUGCUAUAAUAUGUAUUAAGGCAUUGCACACAUCUUGCAUCCUAAUGAGUUUGGUGGAGUGUGGACUACUGUACUUAUCAGAUGGGUAUACCUGCGAUAGCACUUUCGUUAUAUGAGAGAACAAAUGAGUUAUAUAAUCCAAGACUUUAGUUGCAGUCUUUUAUAGUGCCAAGAUAUGAUUGUGUUGCAAGAGUCCAACUUUCUCUGUUUCAGAGAAGGGUUUCAAAUCUGUAUUACAUGCUAUAGUAGGAGCAUGAGUGUGCUGUUGUAUAAAAAAAAGUUGUAGUUUCAUUUCUUGGACUUAAUGUAACCCACACCCACUGUUAUGUAGGUUUGUCUUUGGGAUUGGAUAUGAAUUCUAGUGGGGUAAGAAAGGAAAGAGGCUACGGCCUAGUAGUCAGAGCUGGAAAGGCUGCUCUUUGUCAAACCAAGAGGAACAGGUCUCGGAAGUCUCUGGCCAGGACUCAUGGCUUCCGUCGAAGGAUGAAAACCACCAGUGGAAGGGCAGUGUUGAAACGUCGACGUGCCAAGGGACGAUGGCUCCUUUGCACCAAGUCCAACCCUAAUUCAGGAAAACGUCAUCUUUAAAUUGGUCUAAUAGGUUCAUUUGAUGAAGUGUAAUAGUGCCUACUAAUUGUUUUUGUACACUUGAUACCUUUGCAAGUUCGUAUUCAAAGAUAUUAUCUCAAAUUUUCCAUUUGUAAUGCCCUUUGUAUAUCAAUUCCUGCUUUCUGUCUUGAUUUAUUUCUGUUGUUCUCAUUUUAUGCUUGUAGUAUUACUAGUUUUCAAGGGGCCAAUUGGAUAUUCUCACUGAAUGUUAUUCUUCAGAUAGUCUGAAUUUGUCUCUAGGUUCAGCUACCUGUCCUAACCUUGAGUGAUU
RNAcentral lists this unclassified non-coding RNA (1909 nucleotides) under Hevea brasiliensis (rubber tree). Lineage: Eukaryota; Viridiplantae; Streptophyta; Magnoliopsida; Malpighiales; Euphorbiaceae. The record is from RNAcentral.